Molecule: ribosomal RNA, 419 nt
Filed under: uncultured bacterium
Lineage: Bacteria
Description: bacterial SSU rRNA
Rfam family: Bacterial small subunit ribosomal RNA
Source: RNAcentral
GGGCUUACACAAGCGGUGGAGCAUGUGGUUUAAUUCGAAACAACGCGCAGAACCUUACCAAUCCUUGCAAUAUACAGAAAACAAUGGUUAUGCUUUGUAUUUUGGUAUACAGGCGCUGCAUGGCUGUCGUCAGUUCGUGGCGUGAGCUGUUGGGUUAAGUCCUAGAACGAACGCAACCCUCUUGAUAUGUGUAUAUUUUUAAAGUAUACCUUAUCAUACUGCCAGUGACAUACGGGAGGAAGGUGAGGAUGACGUCAAGUCCGCAUGGCCCUUAUGGGUUGGGCUACACACGUGCUACAAUGGCGGAAGCAAAAGGUGGCAAUAUGGUGACAUGGAGCAAAUCCUUAAAAACCGUCGUAGUUCAGAUUGUUCUCUGCAACUCGAGAACAUGAAGAUGGAAUCGCUAGUAAUCGUAGAUC